UAAAUCAUCAAUCUUUUUUGAAUCGUCAUUGAUUCAGUCAAGAUUGGAUUGUGGGGGUCUGCGGGCUCGUAUCAGAGUCGGCUCUCCUUAAAAAUGUUAGUGAGGCCUUUGUCGACCGUCACUGGUGUGAUAAUUAUCUACGCCACUCGAAGGUCUUCAUUGUUGGACUCGCUUCUAACUUGGUCUGGUUAACAGACGACUUUGACUA
RNAcentral lists this unclassified non-coding RNA (208 nucleotides) under uncultured Gerhardtia. Its description in RNAcentral is "sequence contains ITS2". The record is from RNAcentral. Lineage: Eukaryota; Fungi; Basidiomycota; Agaricomycetes; Agaricales; Lyophyllaceae.